RNAcentral lists this transfer RNA (3006 nucleotides) under Lupinus albus (white lupine). Its description in RNAcentral is "hypothetical ncRNA". The stretch from base 1042 to 1113 matches the Rfam family "tRNA". The record is from RNAcentral. Lineage: Eukaryota; Viridiplantae; Streptophyta; Magnoliopsida; Fabales; Fabaceae.
GCGGAACGUAGGGCGCUUUAGGUAGGUGUGUGUUGACCAUGCACUCUCGCGUCAUGUAAUGUCGUAUGUAUGAUAGAGGUGGUGUGGUGAUUGACCUCAAUGCUAAUGGUUAUCCCCAAGGUUCAACGAAUGAAUGAAGCUAUGAUCGUACCCGGAUAGAAAUGACGGUCUUCCUCUGAUGUCUCCAAGCCGGCCAUAAUAGAAUAGAUAGGCAAAGCAGCCAAUAGCAGUUUUAGCCUAUCGAUAGAUAGUAGGUUGCUUCCAAGCUCAAACCAUUUGAAACUAAAUUGCUACUGUCUUAUUUUUAUUGAUAGAAUGGUCUUCUCCGCCCCUGUCAAAUAAAGUAGAGGGAGAGAACUGGAAGAGAGAAGGAAAAAGAGCAAAGGAUUUACAAGUCUAACAUCUGGGAGAGGAAUGCCUUAGUUAUCGUGCACGUUGACUGCCUUCGAGAAAAAUAGAACCCAAGCGGUCUAAGCCCCGGGACGGACCCCAACCGAAAGAAAGGCUAGCGCCUUUCCCUCUAUCAGGCUAACGGCAAGCGAGAUAAAGAAAGCAGCCGGCCCUAUGUGUCAAACCUUGCCGCGGGAGAGUCUUUCUCCAAUGAGAAUCAAGCAAGUUUUUGGGCAAGACAAGAAAGGAACUCGCCCUUUGACACCACACCAAGGGAUAAGAGCUGAUUGCUGGCGAUGACUUGGUGAAAGGAAUAUAUGAGAGAAGGUUCUCAAACCGGGUUCCGCUUGGAAAUCUAAAUAGUAAGAGCGCGGACGCGGAACCAACGAGUUCAGUCGAACAGCGUAACGAGUCUAAGGUUACAGAAGCGUUCGCCUACUUUGAUAGGUAAACGCAUUGCAAGCAAAUAGAGCAGAGAGCUUACCGUCUUUUUCUAUUAGAGUCGCGAGCUUGGCUUGUUGUAGUCGGUCCGUGAAGAGAGAACUUGCUGCUUACUUGCUAUAUCCCGCGUUCUUGCACGGCUCGUUCUUCGAGCCCUGCUUCUCCCGUCCCCCUCUCCUUUUUUACUUUAUCGUCCAAAACAAGGCCGUAUGGAGUAUAGCCAAGUGGUAAGGCAUCGGUUUUUGGUACCGGCAUGCAAAGGUUCGAAUCCUUUUACUCCAGAUUAUGAACACCCGAUCGGAUCUGUCAAGAACGAGCUGACGACUACAGGGGAAGCGGCUGAUUGCAGUCCCUGAGCCCAGCCCCCGGAGCCGGAGCCGGAGGGGAGGAAUGCAUGGUUCCCUGGCGCUUCAUGGGACGGGCGUUCGCAGUCCCCCUCCCUCUAAUCUAACCCUCCCCCGCUCCCCCAUACGAAUUUGAACUACGAUCCCCUGGAGCAAAGGCUGUGGAUACACUUUUUAAUGCUGUCACCGAAAGUGUAAAAAAACUAAAUGUAAGACAUAAAUAUCCCUGCCGGAAAACAGGACAUAUUCAAAAAUAGUCGAGCAGGUCAUUCAUUGGGGAUCCGGCGGAUCUACGUUAUGUGAGAUUUUUUCUGAUAUUACGGAGUAUGGCUUUGCCAGUAAUUACUUUCACGAGGCAUUAACCUCUAUUCUAUUGGGGGCCGGGGGUUGGUGGAUAAAGAAAGAUGGACAGUAAGGAUUGCGUAAUAUAAAUUUUUCGGCCUCGCUUAGGUUCCUAUCGAUUCUCCCCGGAUUUGAGGAUCACCUUUGACCUGCCCGACAUGCUGUUGACUUGGAGAUUAAUUCUUCGGCCGUACCUUCUGCGGUCGUUACGCUUGGUCGGUCAUGCUGGGACCAAAGAAAAGUAGAAGCCUCAACCGUGUCGAAGGCAUUAUAACUACAGUAGCAUUAAGACCUCAAAAAUCAACAUCUACAUCCCGUCGCUACCCUUUCAGCCCUUUAAAUGUUCAUCUUCCCGCGUGAGGGUGAUCAGCGUUCUCGUUCACGAAGCCAACCGAGUUGCUCAUGGGAAGGAGCAUGUGAGGGAGAAGGACCAAACUUCGUCUCUUCGAACGGAGCCCAGGUUUCCUUUUUGAUACUAUGUAAAACCUCCUCAUCAACAGACGUUUCCCGAAUAACCAUUCAUUUCAUGAAAAACCUGCGCUUGUUAGCAGCUGAAUCACUCUCUCCUCUCGUAGUGGGCCUCUUUUCUUUCCCUUCCCCCGCUGGCAUGAGGAAAGGGUCCAUUCCACUAGCUCUUCUUCUUGAUUAAAGAGAGGGGUGCGCUUUCCCCUUUGAAUGAGUAGAUCUUCCAGCCCCCGUGCCUACCUUUACUCAAUGCUCCUGAAGUCCGAAAAGGAGACUGUGAGUGGACAGGGGGCAGGGAAGUUCAGUUACAGAAAUGGUAGUCGUGGACUGGUACCGCAUGCCUACUUUUGGUAAUCCUUAUUGUGAUCCCUCACUCUGGGCUAAGAUAGUCUCUUAAGUGCUAGCGUGACGGGAGAGCAAAUAGCAAUGAACCUUAUCUACAGUAUUAGUUCCCUCCUACCAAGAACUAAACAAGUUCUCUAUGCGGGGAAAAGGGUACCGAUAGGCGGAUUGACGCAUCUGAGCAGGCAGGGAAGACUUAGUGCUUGGAAUAUAAAUGCUAUGAGGCUUGGGCGAGAGAGCAGGUCUAGGAGGCCCAGAUAUUGCAUCAUGUGAAAGCAGCGAAAAGACCCAUAAGAGCUGUAAACAAGUGAGAUAGGCACGAAAGGGGGGCAUUCUGGGGAUGUCUCUUUCAUCAGCCAGCACCUUCAACAGCCAGUAGGAAAGAUGCCGACACGGAUUCGAUUCAAGAUUCAAGAUAGGGUACGCCCGAUGACCAGGCAGGGCGGCACAGCCCCCAACCAAGGGGGCUAGCAGCUCUUUUAUCCGCUGCUGUCUCUGCUCUGACUGACGAAGGAAGAUGUGACCGACUGCAUUAGCACUUGUUGAAUUGGUCUUCUUUGAGUGCAAUAAAUUCGAAGUAGUUCAAAUAGCCCUGAUCGACGAUGCGCGCGUCAGUCCCUUCCCUCUCUCUUGGCCGGCCUAUUCUUGUCCAGUAACCAUUCUUUCGUUAAGAGUUCCGCGC